CCUACGGGAGGCAGCAGUGGGGAAUCUUGCGCAAUGGGCGAAAGCCUGACGCAGCAACGCCGCGUGCGGGAAGAAGGCUUUCGGGCUGUAAACCGCUUUCAGCAGGAACGAAAAUGACGGUACCUGCAGAAGAAGGAGCGGCCAACUAUGUGCCAGCAGCCGCGGUGAUACAUAGGCUUCAAGCGUUGUCCGGAUUUAUUGGGCGUAAAGAGUUCGUAGGCGGUCGAGUAAGUCGGGUGUGAAAAUUCUGGGCUCAACCCAGAGACGCCACCCGAUACUGCUUGACUUGAGUUCGAUAGGGGAGUGGGGAAUUCCUAGUGUAGCGGUGAAAUGCGCAGAUAUUAGGAGGAACACCGGUGGCGAAGGCGCCACUCUGGAUCGAUACUGACGCUGAGGAACGAAAGCAUGGGUAGCAAACAGGAUUAGAUACCCUGGUAGUCCAUGCCGUAAACGGUGGGCACUAGGUGUGGGUUUCUAUUAACGAAUUCCGCGCCGUCGCUAACGCAUAGUGCCCGCCGUCGGGUAGGUACGGUCGCGAGACGUAAACGUACAAUAGUAAGUUAGUACGGUUCGUUGUAGACGUUGCCGACGGCGACGACGAGGGAGGAGG
This 610-nucleotide ribosomal RNA is filed under the name uncultured bacterium. RNAcentral's name for it is "bacterial SSU rRNA". The stretch from base 1 to 517 matches the Rfam family "Bacterial small subunit ribosomal RNA", at positions 338 to 873 of the family's 1533-position model. The record is from RNAcentral.